MicroRNA precursor from Erinaceus europaeus (western European hedgehog), 62 nucleotides. The record is from Ensembl. Lineage: Eukaryota; Metazoa; Chordata; Mammalia; Eulipotyphla; Erinaceidae.
CGGGGGUGGGGGGGUGGGGGCGGGGCCUGGCUCCCGCCUGGUUCUCAGACCUGGGCUGCAGC